RNAcentral lists this ribosomal RNA (253 nucleotides) under uncultured bacterium. RNAcentral describes it as "partial 16S ribosomal RNA". It matches the Rfam family "Bacterial small subunit ribosomal RNA", at positions 524 to 776 of the family's 1533-position model. The record is from RNAcentral.
UACGUAGGGUGCAAGCGUUGUCCGGAAUUAUUGGGCGUAAAGAGCUCGUAGGCGGUUUGUCGCGUCGAAUGUGAAAACCCGGGGCUCAACCCCGGGCCUGCAUUCGAUACGGGCAGACUAGAGUUCGGUAGGGGAGUCUGGAAUUCCUGGCGUAGCGGUGAAAUGCGCAGAUAUCAGGAGGAACACCGGUGGCGAAGGCGGGACUCUGGGCCGAUACUGACGCUGAGGAGCGAAAGCGUGGGGAGCAAACAGG